This is a long non-coding RNA of Sphaeramia orbicularis (orbiculate cardinalfish), 1837 nucleotides long. RefSeq lists it as uncharacterized. The record is from RefSeq and is a predicted model, not a curated record. Lineage: Eukaryota; Metazoa; Chordata; Actinopteri; Kurtiformes; Apogonidae. The transcript is spliced from 4 exons.
CAGUACCAUUUUGUCGGUUCGUCCUCCACGAUAGAGAGAGACAGGCAGCGACCUUACUCGUCUUCUCGUACUCCGUCCAUCUCCCCCGUACGGACCUCACCCAACAAUCGAUCAGCGAGCGCUCCCGCUUCCCCCAGAGAGAUGAUGGCGUUGAAGGAGCGGAAGGCGGACUACGAGUCAACCGGCAAUGCCAGUUACCAUAGCAACAAGGGCGAGCACACAUCCCGGAAGGACGCCAUGACGGGUCAAAUCUCCGGUGGCUCUUCACACUACACCGAGGAGCGUACGUGUCCCCGACAGACGACCUGAAGUAUAACCAGGUGUCUUCCCAAGGCUUACCUUCAGAACCCUACCCUCCUUUCCAGAACCCUCCGCCACCCGACAGCGUCAACUACGAGGAUCAGGCCUUUUACGAGAACCAGGUCCACGCGGGAGGGCGCCCCCCGCAGGCCGACCUCAACAUGCACCUGCAGGGCCUCAAAUCCACCGGCAACUACGUGGACUUCUACUCAGCCUCGCGGCCCUACAGCGAGUUAAACUACGAGACCAGCCACUACCCGGCCUCACCGGACUCCUGGGUCUAAGAGGGGGAUGAAGGAGGAGGAGGAGGAGGAGGAGAGGAUGGAAUGGAGGAAGGAUCAUGGGAUUGUGGAAAAGGUGGAUGAGAGAAGAUGAAGGGACACUAUUUCUCUCCCUCCCAUCCUCCCUUGUAGCUCCUGAGUAGCAUCGUAGGUAGCAGGACAGAAGGACAGAGGAGAGGGAGGACGGACGGAGAAGCGCAACAUCUGAACCUUCAGGAGGACGAAGACGGGAGGAGCAGCCACGCAUGUGCAUGCACACCACCAACGAAAACCUGACAGACACAUUUCCUUUUUGUGUUUAGUUCGUGAUCAACAGCUGCUGCGGGAUUUUCGACGUGAACGAAGAAGACGCUCCUGCACCGAGAGAGAGAGAGACCAGAGAGAGAGAGAGAGAGAGAGAGAGAGAGAGAUGGAAACCGAGACGCAGAAGGACAAUGAAAGACGGACACGGAUCAGCAAAGAGAAGGUUUAGUUUAAUGGAUUGGAAAGUGUGGGAGAUGUCCCCGGGAGAAACCUGUAAAUAUGUGGUAUACUGUAGUAAACAUGGCUUUUAGUAACGUGAAGCACAAGAAACCGAGCUGUAGGACACGUAGGACGUCUGUCUCACAAACUUUUCUUUCUCUCUUUGGCUUCAGCGUGACGUAUCCUCCUCUGGGCAAAGAAACGCUUGUGGACUUUGUCAUUUGUAACAGGUUUUCCCUUUUUUUUUUUUUUUUUUUGUGUCUUUUUUCUUCUUUUUUGUGUUUCUACUUUUUUAAUUCUGGUUGUAUAGUAUUUGACGUACACUGUACAUUAACGGACAUGCGUUGUCUACUGUACGUUGCACUAUUUUACUGUGUCAUGUCAAGGCCUUCGCCGUCGCUCAGCCACACUUCUUUCACUAAACUAGCUCACGCCAGAUCUGCAACUCAGACCUUCAGAAUCUCAUAUCGCAAGCCACAGACAGAUUCCGACACGUUGCUAACGCGAAAAACAGUGGACUUAGCGUCAAUUUUCGGUAGGUCAAGGUGCUCCUUUUACUGCCCUACACAUAUAGACGGUCCAGCUGCCAUGAACGACCGAACAGAAGCUCGAACAGUUUUGCGGAGUAGCAGCAGCAGCAGCGUCAGCUAAGCCUUUCUUGUAACUUUUUUUUGAGGCGAUAGCUUUGUUUUUUUUCGGUCUUUCCACAUUAACGCCACAAAACCCCCCUCCUUUUGUUUCCACGAGCCCUUCCUUGGAGUGAACUGUGCUCUUGUGUAAAUAACUGUGCCAAA